Molecule: ribosomal RNA, 447 nt
Filed under: uncultured bacterium
Lineage: Bacteria
Description: bacterial SSU rRNA
Rfam family: Bacterial small subunit ribosomal RNA
Source: RNAcentral
UGGGGAAUCUUGGACAAUGGGCGCAAGCCUGAUCCAGCCAUGCCGCGUGAGUGAUGAAGGCCUUAGGGUUGUAAAGCUCUUUUGUCGGGGACGAUAAUGACGGUACCCGGAGAAUAAGUCCCGGCUAACUUCGUGCCAGCAGCCGCGGUAAUACGAAGGGGACUAGCGUUGUUCGGAAUCACUGGGCGUAAAGCGCACGUAGGCGGAUUUGUAAGUCAGGGGUGAAAUCCCGGGGCUCAACCUCGGAACUGCCUUUGAUACUGCGGAUCUCGAGUCCGAUAGAGGUGAGUGGAAUUCCUAGUGUAGAGGUGAAAUUCGUAGAUAUUAGGAAGAACACCGGUGGCGAAGGCGGCCCACUGGAUCGGUACUGACGCUGAGGUGCGAAAGCGUGGGGAGCAAACAGGAUUAGAUACCCUUGUAGUCCCUGAGCGGGCUGGCAAGGCGCAU